Molecule: ribosomal RNA, 429 nt
Filed under: uncultured bacterium
Lineage: Bacteria
Description: partial 16S ribosomal RNA
Rfam family: Bacterial small subunit ribosomal RNA
Source: RNAcentral
AACGAACGCUGGCGGCAGGCUUAACACAUGCAAGUCGAACGCCCCGCAAGGGGAGUGGCAGACGGGUGAGUAACGCGUGGGAACAUACCCUUUCCUGCGGAAUAGCUCCGGGAAACUGGAAUUAAUACCGCAUACGCCCUACGGGGGAAAGAUUUAUCGGGGAAGGAUUGGCCCGCGUUGGAUUAGCUAGUUGGUGGGGUAAAGGCCUACCAAGGCGACGAUCCAUAGCUGGUCUGAGAGGAUGAUCAGCCACAUUGGGACUGAGACACGGCCCAAACUCCUACGGGAGGCAGCAGUGGGGAAUAUUGGACAAUGGGCGCAAGCCUGAUCCAGCCAUGCCGCGUGAGUGAUGAAGGCCUUAGGGUUGUAAAGCUCUUUCACCGAUGAAGAUAAUGACGGUAGUCGGAGAAGAAGCCCCGGCUAACUUCG